GUGCAAAAGUAAUUGCGGUUUUUGCCAUUGAAAGUAAUUGCAAAAACUACAGUUACUUUU
Molecule: microRNA precursor, 60 nt
Filed under: Mandrillus leucophaeus (drill)
Lineage: Eukaryota; Metazoa; Chordata; Mammalia; Primates; Cercopithecidae
Description: miRNA (ENSMLEG00000009013.1)
Source: RNAcentral